Molecule: ribosomal RNA, 384 nt
Filed under: uncultured bacterium
Lineage: Bacteria
Description: bacterial SSU rRNA
Rfam family: Bacterial small subunit ribosomal RNA
Source: RNAcentral
AUUGAACGCUGGCGGCAUGCCUUACACAUGCAAGUCGAGCGCGAAAGGGGGGCAACCCCGAGUAGAGCGGCGGACGGGUGAGUAACGCAUCGGAACGUGCCCAGUAGUGGGGGACAACCUCGAGAAAUCGAGGCUAAUACCGCAUACGACCCACGGGUGAAAGCGGGGGACCGCAAGGCCUCGCGCUAUUGGAGCGGCCGAUGUCCGAUUAGCUAGUUGGCGGGGUAAGAGCCCACCAAGGCGACGAUCGGUAGCUGGUCUGAGAGGACGACCAGCCACACUGGGACUGAGACACGGCCCAGACUCCUACGGGAGGCAGCAGUGGGGAAUUUUGGACAAUGGGGGCAACCCUGAUCCAGCCAUGCCGCGUGCGGGAAGAAGGCC